GGUCCUGCAGUUUUUGCUUUGAUGGCUAUUGUUCUCAAGAUGAUAUAUUUCGUGGAUGUGCAAUAGGUGCGGCUCUCAAUGAUUUUCAUGCCAUAUAUAUAGUGGAGAUUUGUCAUACCCUAGAAUAUCAUGGACUAGGACUCUUUCUCUAAAUGGAAUAUGGUUUCCUGUAAGGAAUUAGGUGAUUCCUUUCCUUAUAAGGAGAUUACAUCAUAUAAUGAAACUUUGAAUCCUCUUUAAACUCUAUUUCUUCUUUUUUAUUUCUAUCCUUCUUUGCUAAUUUAUUUCAUUCUUUCUUUGCUCCUUUCUUUCCUUGUUUGCUCCUUUGUUUAUUUUCUUCUUUACCAAUCUUUCUUAUUUGCACUUGAUUUCCUUGUGUAUUCAUGUCACCUGCUAUGGGACCUAGUUCACAACUGUUCAGGGACCUGGUUCACCGGAUACAACAUACAAAAGACAACAAGUAGUAAAUCAGGUUCUUAUUUUUCAAUCAUCAAAACUAUAAACAUGUUCUCUUACUUUCCAACAAGUGACGAUGUGGUUGCGGGACAAAUCCACCUAGACCUGCGAAGAUGUUAAGAAAACCUUUUAUUUUUUCAAAACCCAUCUCGCUUAGCACUGCAUACUGUUGUUUAA
RNAcentral lists this long non-coding RNA (633 nucleotides) under Capsicum annuum. RNAcentral's name for it is "long non-coding RNA (CANN_LNC007119)". Lineage: Eukaryota; Viridiplantae; Streptophyta; Magnoliopsida; Solanales; Solanaceae. The record is from RNAcentral.